GCAUGCGAAGUGUAGAAAACCGUUCCGACUAUUCACUCUGCCUUGGCGCUGCUGUCACAGUGAUUACAAGUUUUAUUUUUUGUAAAAAGCAUAGUUAUUAUUUGAACAUUUAUCCCGUGCGAAAAAAAUGUUUAAAAAAUAAACGGAGAGAGAGAAGAAUUUAUAUGGUCAGUUCUGACAAUCCGCCUGCACUACCGCUAAAGACGGCACUCCUUCCUAAUUUUGAAUAAUGGCACCAAAAAGAAGAAUGUUAACUGGUCAUAGGGAAAAGAAAAGGAGAUGUACUAAAGCACGUGUUCGAUAUGAACAGGAAAAACCGUUUCAAAUCAAAUAUAGAUGUGCUGAUGCUGAUGAUAUUUCAAAUAG
RNAcentral lists this long non-coding RNA (366 nucleotides) under Androctonus crassicauda. The record is from RNAcentral. Lineage: Eukaryota; Metazoa; Arthropoda; Arachnida; Scorpiones; Buthidae.